UUUCAAAUCAGUGAAACUAAUCUCCCCGUGAAGAAGCGGGGAUAUACUUAUAAGACGAGAAGACCCCAUGGAGCUUCAAACCCCGCUACACCCCGAUCUCUAUAACCCACUUAACCCACACGGACCCCUGUAUAGCUGGUUUUCGGUUGGGGCGACCACGGAGUACAACAAAACCUCCACAAUGAACGGGACUAAUCCCUCACCUAAGGCCCACACCCCUAAGAAUUAGAAUACUAACAUAAAGUGAUCCAUUAUUUGAUCAAUGAACCAAGUUACCCUGGGGAUAACAGCGCAAUCCACUUCAAGAGCCCCUAUCGACAAGUGGGUUUACGACCUCGAUGUUGGAUCAGGGUAUCCUAGUGGUGCAGCAGCUACUAACGGUUCGUUUGUUCAACGAUUAAAACCCU
Molecule: ribosomal RNA, 407 nt
Filed under: Mantidactylus aerumnalis
Lineage: Eukaryota; Metazoa; Chordata; Amphibia; Anura; Mantellidae
Description: partial 16S ribosomal RNA
Rfam family: Bacterial large subunit ribosomal RNA
Source: RNAcentral